CCCUUAGACGUUCUGGGCCGCACGCGCGCUACACUGACCAGUGCAACAAGCAUCCGUCCUUGGCCGACAGGCUCGGGCAAUCUUUGAACGCUGGUCGUGAUGGGGAUAGACUUUUGCAAUUUUUGGUCUUCAACGAGGAAUUCCUAGUAAACGCAAGUCAUCAACUUGCAUUGAUUACGUCCCUGCCCUUUGUACACGCCGCCCGUCGCACCUACCGAUUGAAUGGUCCGGUGAAGCCUCCGGAUUGGCGCGCACCUCGGUGCCGCCGAGAAGUUGGCUAAACCUUACCAUUUAGAGGAAGGUGAAGUCGUAACA
RNAcentral lists this ribosomal RNA (315 nucleotides) under uncultured eukaryote. RNAcentral describes it as "partial 18S ribosomal RNA". It matches the Rfam family "Eukaryotic small subunit ribosomal RNA", at positions 1470 to 1796 of the family's 1831-position model. The record is from RNAcentral.